RNAcentral lists this long non-coding RNA (1108 nucleotides) under Populus trichocarpa (black cottonwood). Its description in RNAcentral is "long non-coding RNA (PTRI_LNC001630)". Lineage: Eukaryota; Viridiplantae; Streptophyta; Magnoliopsida; Malpighiales; Salicaceae. The record is from RNAcentral.
AACAUAUCAACCAGGAGACCGAUGAGCCGAGGCGGCUUAUCAGGGCUUGAGGUGGACGACUCAAUGAGCUGAGCCAGAGCUUCUUUGACUAAAGGUUUGUACGUUUCCAUGUAGAAAGCUAAAAUGUCUUUUGCCUUCAUAUCUAAAGCUUGUUCAAGAAGAGGGAGGUCAAGGAACUUGAUAUUGUUAGAAAUAGUUGACUCAGUGAGUGAUUUGCAGUAGCUUGUGAACUUCUCAUCAAAGGGUAGCUUCAUCAAGAUGAUUGUCACUACGAAUCGGUCGUCUCGAUUGACAAGUAGCCGUGCCAACUCCACCGUUGAUGUAACAUGGCCGAUACCCGGUGAAGGUAUAAACACCAACUCUGAUCUCUUCAUUCAGAACAAUAAAUAGGACUAUUAGUUGGAUUCUUAUUUGAUUUCAAUCCAAAGAUUGAAUAUAGUUAUGGUGAUGUUUAUAGAAAAACAAGCAAGAAGUUAAUACAUAUUUUGUCUCACCAUCUAUAUUUUAUCUAAAUUCUUCAAAAUUAUCUUUAUAGAAUUGAAAAAAAUAAAUUAAUUCUAUUUUAAAAAUAAAUAAAUAACUCAAAUGAUUUAUUCUUUAAACUCAGUCUGGUACAUGACUUGGUUCACAAGUUGACUAUGUUAACCUGGAUUGACUCAAGUCAAUCAAAGUGAUAUUAUUUUAAUUAUUUUAAUAAUGAAUUCCAGUUUUGAUCAAGUCAUGGAUCAACUUUGAAAUGAUAUUUUCUUAUAAAAAAACCUGGCCCAAUUUAUGAGGAUUUUUUUAUGAUGAUUUAGAUAUUGAGUCAACCUGCAGGACUAGAUUUGAUAAUUAUAAGUAAAUUCAAACAAGUAUUUUGGGACAAACAAGAAAUGAUAGUAAGAUUAUCCAAAAAAAACUGAUGGUAAAACAUUGGUUUUUUUAGCUUUAUGGAAUAUAAAAAUGUCCAUGCACACAUGGAAAAAUAGAGCUUGAAAAUGAAUUACCUCCAUUUCAGGUUUUGGAGUUCCACCUUGAUAGUCUUGGGUUUCCAUUGCUCAAUAGCACAAGAGAUUUUAAUUAGGGGAACUCUUUGUUACGAAUAGAGAGUAAAGUUCCACAUACAUAU